Triticum aestivum (bread wheat) is the source of this 126-nucleotide non-coding RNA. The record is from Rfam. Lineage: Eukaryota; Viridiplantae; Streptophyta; Magnoliopsida; Poales; Poaceae.
UUACUACUCCCUCCGUCCGAAAAAGCUUGUCCCAAGCUUGUUCAUCAAAUGGAUGUAUCUAGCACUAACUUGAUGCUAGAUAUAUCCAUUUGAGGGACAAGCUUUUUUGGACGGAGGGAGUAUUAU